This is a non-coding RNA of Arachis ipaensis, 833 nucleotides long. The record is from RefSeq and is a predicted model, not a curated record. NCBI's taxonomy places the organism in Eukaryota, Viridiplantae, Streptophyta, Magnoliopsida, Fabales, Fabaceae.
UUGUCGUGCGUACUGCGUACCCCCUUUGUUCUUAGUUCUUACCUCCUUGUUCUCCUUGUUAACUUUUGAUAUUAUUUCUCGGAUUUCUCUUGCCUUCCAACAGUAGAAUCUUUUAACAGGAAAAGACUACUUUGAAAAAAGAUCGUGAUUAGCCAUGAAUGAAGCACAAGAUCUGCAUCGCCUCUCUCUUGUUAUGAGCUAUCAAGCUCUUCUUCUCAUGUUCAAUUUUUUUUUCAUGCCAUCCGGUUUCAUAUACUGAUUUUGCUAAAGCAACCAUUUUUAAGCGUUAGAUUCAUCUGGAAUACCAGGAUCUGUAAAGUUAGUUAGCUCAAAUUUCUUCUCUGAUCUGUUCUCUUAUUUUCAUCAUCAUCUGGCUCUGUUUUCCCUUCUCUUCAUCCGCUGCACUACGGUUUCUUUGGAGAAAACUGUUUUGAUCUUCUUAAAAAACGUUGCAACUAAAAAGAGCUUCCACUUUCGCUGGAGUUUCAAAGGAAUGGGCUUAUGCAGCUUCAUUCUACUCGUCAUAAAGGGAAUAUUCUUUCGACUGUGAUUCUAUUGAUUAAGCAAAUUUAUCUGGAUGACUACACAUCCGAGUUCACGGAUGUUGAUGUGUGAUUACCCUGUCCCUCUGGAUCGGUAUGAUGAUAGGAUUUCUGUGCACUGGAAGUUUCUGCCUUUACUUCGUGAUUUUGGCAGUAUCGGACAGUACUGUAAGAGAUCGGCUUGCCUCGCACAUCUGUACAGGGCAUUAUGUAGGGCAUCUCGUUUUGACUGUAAGGAGAUCGAUGGUCCGCUAACACUUCUGCUGGGUUGGGCUUGGAUCCACCUGCCAU